GAUGAACGCUGGCGGCGUGCCUAAUACAUGCAAGUCGAGCGAACAGACGAUGAGCUUGCUCCUCUGACGUUAGCGGCUGACGGGUGAGUAACACGUGGAUAACCUACCUAUAAGACUGGGAUAACUUCGGGAAACCGGAGCUAAUACCGGAUAAUAUAUUGAACCGCAUGGUUCAAUAGUGAAAGACGGUUUUGCUGUCUCUUAUAGAUUGAUCCGCGCCGCAUUAGCUAGUUGGUAAGGUAACGGCUUACCAAGGCAACGAUGCGUAGCCGACCUGAGAGGGAGAUCGGCCACACUGGAACUGAGACACGGUCCAGACUACUACGGGAGGCAGCAGUAGGGAAUCUUACGCAAUGGGCGAAAGCCUGACGGAGCAAGGCCGCGUGAGUGAUGAAGGUCUUCGGAUCGUAAAACUCUGUUAUUAGGGAAGAAAAAAUGUGUAAGUAAAUAUGCACGUAUUGACGGUAACUAAUCAGAAAGCAACGGCUAACUACGUG
RNAcentral lists this ribosomal RNA (497 nucleotides) under uncultured bacterium. RNAcentral's name for it is "partial 16S ribosomal RNA". It matches the Rfam family "Bacterial small subunit ribosomal RNA", at positions 28 to 507 of the family's 1533-position model. The record is from RNAcentral.